Molecule: ribosomal RNA, 421 nt
Filed under: uncultured bacterium
Lineage: Bacteria
Description: bacterial SSU rRNA
Rfam family: Bacterial small subunit ribosomal RNA
Source: RNAcentral
UGGUGGCGAGUGGCGAACGGGUGAGUAAUAUAUCGGAACGUGCCAGUCGUGGGGGAUAACGUAGCGAAAGCUACGCUAAUACCGCAUACGAUCUAUGGAUGAAAGCGGGGGAUCGCAAGACCUCGCGCGAUUGGAGCGGCCGAUAUCAGAUUAGGUAGUUGGUGAGGUAAAGGCUCACCAAGCCGACGAUCUGUAGCUGGUCUGAGAGGACGACCAGCCACACUGGGACUGAGACACGGCCCAGACUCCUACGGGAGGCAGCAGUGGGAAUUUGGACAAUGGGCGCAAGCCUGAUCCAGCAAUGCCGCGUGCAGGAUGAAGGCCUUCGGGUUGUAAACUGCUUUGUACGGAACGAAACGGUGAGCUCUAAUACAGUUUGCUAAUGACGGUACCGUAAGAAUAAGCACCGGCUAACUACGUG